RNAcentral lists this ribosomal RNA (2553 nucleotides) under Triticum aestivum (bread wheat). RNAcentral's name for it is "partial small subunit ribosomal RNA". Lineage: Eukaryota; Viridiplantae; Streptophyta; Magnoliopsida; Poales; Poaceae. The record is from RNAcentral.
AUGGGAAGAACAUGUGUGUUUGUUCAUCAUGGGGACAAAGACGCCUUUUUGAAAGGCAAUAAAGAACCGGACCCGGAUGAGCUUGACAUUGUGUUUGAUAGUAGUCCUAGCUAUGCGGAGCUCUUGCAACAAGUUAGGAAAGAUUUGAAUUGGACGGACCCUAGUGAUAUAAUUGAGUUGGAGGGAAGGCAUAAUGUUGGUUUUGGAAUGCACAUCCGUUGGAAGACAAUGCGUGUAAACUCGGAGCAACGUUGGGUUGCAUACAAGGAGACGGUGGCCGAAUCACUAGACAAGGCUCUUGAGUUAUUUGCAACGAAGAAGGUUGAGUCAAGUUUGCAUUUGGACUUGAACCGGAACCCCUCCCCUUUGGUUGCUAGUAGCCCCCCACCCUUGAAGCAAGAUGAAAUUGUUGAACCUCUUUUGACCCAAGAAGUGAGGCCAACAUUGAGCCCGUGUAGAAACAACCAAGAUGAAUCUUUGCAAGAGGACAACGAUGAGUAUGCGGACGAUGACAAUGAAGUUGAUCUCCAUGACAACAAUGUGGGUGAUCUCGACAAAUAUCAUUUGCAAGAGACAAUGGACCAUUCCAUCCCUUUUUCCCGUGCAUAUGCAUCGGACUCGGAUGACGAUGGUCCCGAUGAACAAGUUGAUGCGGAGGGGUUCACAGUGAAGGAGGCCGAAGCUUUCGAGAAGGUAUUUGGUCGGGAUCAUCGGACUACAUUGUUCAAGGAUGUUAGUCUCGCGGAUGAAGCCGUGGUAGAUGGUGGCCAAUGUGUAUCUCUUGGGGUUAGGCCAAGCUCUCACCGUGAUUUGGUAGACGACCAGAACCGGAUUGCUAAAGGUUCUAAGUUCGACAGCUUGUUGGAUUUGAAGAUGUGGCUCGACAACUACUCGGUUACGCAUUAUCGUCCACACAAGGUGGUGCACUCGGACGUCAAUGUGCGCUACACGGUUGCAUGUGCAUGUGAAGAUGAAAAGGAGGUCCAACUUGGACUUAAAAGAGGCCGUGGUGGUGGUAGAGGUCGUGGAAAGGAGGUCCAACAAGGAGUGGCAAGACGCCAUGGCGGUUGUCCAUGGAUUGUGCGUGCAAGACCAUGGAAAGGAGGUCCUACUUGGCAUGUAGUGAGUUGUGUGCCAACUCACAUGUGCCAAGGCAAAAGGGUGGAUGGCAAGAUUGUGUCCCAAGACCACAAACAACUCACGUCCGAGUUCAUCGCUUACAGGCUCUCGAACUCAAUAUCCACACUUCCAACAAUGAGCGUCCAACAUGUCAUUGACCUUGUGAAAGCCAUCUUUCAUUACCAGGUGAAAUACGGCAAGGCAUGGAAGGCGAAGCAAGCCGCAUUUAAGAUGUUGUAUGGUACAUGGGAGGAAGCAUACAACCGAAUCCCUAGGUUGUUGUUAGCCAUGGCCGCGACAAACCCGGGCAUGGUUCAUGUGGUCGAGCCUCAUGGGCACCAAACAACGGUUCAUGAAGGAAGGAAAGUUAGAGUAUUUGGCCGUGCUUUUUGGGCGUUCGAGCAAUGUGUGAGGGCUUUCGAACAUUGUAGGCCGGUCAUCGCAAUUGAUGGCACGUUCUUGACCGGACAAUACAAGGGCAACUUGUUGGUUGCGAUAGCAAGUGAUGCCAAUAACCGGGUGUUGCCAUUGGCAUUUGCUUUGGUUGAGGUGGAAAACAAUGACAACUGGGAGUGGUUUCUGCAUCUUUUGAGGACGAAGGUGUUACCCGCUCAAAGGGAAAUUUGUGUCAUAUCGGAUCGGAAUCAAGGAAUUCUUAACGCCGUGGAGAUUGACAUUCCCGGGCAUGCUCCGUUGCACCAUCGAUGGUGCAUGAGGCACUUUUGUUCGAACUUCUAUAGGGCAUGUGGCCUUAAGGAGUUGGCCGAUGAUCUUCAAGAUUGUUGUCUCGCUUUCUCCGAUAAGCGCUUCGCCACUUUGUACAACAAAUUGCUCGCACACAAAAAACUUGAUCCCGGGGGUCAAGACUUUCUCAAUAGGCACAUUCAAUACCGGAACAAGUGGGCACGUGCUUUUGAUGAAGAUGGCCGGAGAUACGGUCAAAUGACAAGCAAUAUGGCCGAAUGCUUCAAUAGGGUGCUCAAAGGUGCACGUGGAUUACCCGUGACGGCAAUAGUUCAAUACACAUUUGACAAGAUGAAUGCGUACUUUGUAAAGUACUCGAUGGAAACCGAUGCACAGAUAGCGGGUGAGAACCCACGGAAGUACAAGUACAAGUUCCCACCCAAAGUUGAUGAAUGGUUGCUAUUUCAAUCAUGGAAGGCGGACUCAGAAGAAGCUAUAUUAUAUGACAAUGAGGAGUGGAAGUACGAAGUGAAAGAGCCAGGAGGAACCACAAACGAUGGCCGGCAACAUGGAGGUCGGGCUUUCAAGGUGUCGUUAACACAAUGUGAUUGCACUUGCGGGAGGCCAUUGUUGCUUCAUCUCCCAUGCUCACAUUUGUAUGCCGCCGGCCGCGUUAGGAAUGUGGACAUCAAUCACCCACGCACCGUGAGGGAGUCCCAGUUCUCAAUCAUGACGGUAUCAAAGUGUUAG